RNAcentral lists this ribosomal RNA (254 nucleotides) under uncultured bacterium. RNAcentral describes it as "partial 16S ribosomal RNA". It matches the Rfam family "Bacterial small subunit ribosomal RNA", at positions 524 to 776 of the family's 1533-position model. The record is from RNAcentral.
UACGUAGGUAGCGAGCGUUGUUCGGAGUUACUGGGCGUAAAGGGUGUGUAGGCGGUUCUUUAAGUUUGGUGUGAAAUCUCCCGGCUCAACCGGGAGGGUGCGCCGAAUACUGAGGGACUUCGAGUGCGGGAGAGGAAAGUGGAAUUCCUGGUGUAGCGGUGAAAUGCGUAGAUAUCAGGAGGAACACCGGUGGUGUAGACGGCUUUCUGGACCGUAACUGACGCUGAGACACGAAAGCGUGGGUAGCAAACAGG